CUGGGAAGCUGGAGGAAGAGGCAGUUUUCCAUUCUCCACUCCGGGCCCCGCCGGCCGCCUGAAAUAGUUACUAGAUCUACUAUGGACCAGCAAUGAAAAGAUACCAAACCAGAGUUAGAACCUGACAAAGCUGGAGGCUGUGCUUGUCCCUGUAAAGGAGUAUCUAGGCAUAGGAUCCUCUGGGAGGUUUGCAAGACAGCCAGAAGACAAAAUGGGGAGCUGGAAAGCCUGCUGGAUGAAUCUAUGUCAACAUGAC
Long non-coding RNA from Arvicanthis niloticus (Nile rat), 256 nucleotides. RefSeq lists it as uncharacterized. The record is from RefSeq and is a predicted model, not a curated record. Lineage: Eukaryota; Metazoa; Chordata; Mammalia; Rodentia; Muridae.